Melospiza melodia melodia is the source of this 573-nucleotide long non-coding RNA. RefSeq lists it as uncharacterized. The transcript has 3 exons. Lineage: Eukaryota; Metazoa; Chordata; Aves; Passeriformes; Passerellidae. The record is from RefSeq and is a predicted model, not a curated record.
GCCCACUCGGGCAUCGCAGCGCCGACGACUUCCUGAGGGUCCCCGAAUGGCCGCCAUUGCCCCUCAGGCAGUUCCCAGCUUGGGAGUGAUACCAAUCGCACACUCGCCAGCGCGUUCCUCGUUAGUAUAGUGGUAUGACUGUAGUGUUGACCUGUAAAAAAGACAGACACUGGGAUUCACAGCAAGAAAAAAGGCAAGAGGGACCUGAGCUUAGCAAGCUGAUGAUGCGUUAAGCUGCUUCUGGGCCAGAAUGAGAGCAAUCAUGGUUAAAGUCUUCCCUAAGCCCAUGUCAUCCGCUGCAAAAAGAUGCACACAAGUUAUCACCUGCAAAAAUGAGCCCCCUUGGAUCUACACUGAGCGAAAUACUACAACAGAAAGUGUCCUGGGGAACCCAGAAAAUCAAAAAUACACAAAUGAAAAUGUCAGCGUAUGAUUUAGUCAUUGGUUAAUACCUGUACUUGGUAAUAGGGCACAGAAAACGAGCCCUUUUGACAUGUCUACAAAAUAACCAGUUAUUGGCCAUAGAUCUGCCCCACAAAAUCCACUUUGCCAUUCUAUUUCUCACCCAGAAUU